RNAcentral lists this ribosomal RNA (253 nucleotides) under uncultured bacterium. RNAcentral's name for it is "partial 16S ribosomal RNA". It matches the Rfam family "Bacterial small subunit ribosomal RNA", at positions 524 to 776 of the family's 1533-position model. The record is from RNAcentral.
UACAGAGGUCUCAAGCGUUGUUCGGAUUCAUUGGGCGUAAAGGGUGCGUAGGUGGCGCUGUAAGUCGGGUGUGAAAUUUCGGAGCUUAACUCCGAAACUGCAUUCGAUACUGCGGUGCUUGAGGACUGGAGAGGAGACUGGAAUUCAUGGUGUAGCAGUGAAAUGCGUAGAGAUCAUGAGGAAGACCAGUGGCGAAGGCGGCGAUCUGGGUCGAUACUGACGCUGAGGUGCGAAAGCGUGGGGAGCAAACAGG